This 253-nucleotide ribosomal RNA is filed under the name uncultured bacterium. RNAcentral describes it as "partial 16S ribosomal RNA". It matches the Rfam family "Bacterial small subunit ribosomal RNA", at positions 524 to 776 of the family's 1533-position model. The record is from RNAcentral.
UACAGAGGGGGCAAGCGUUGUUCGGAAUUACUGGGCGUAAAGGGCGCGUAGGUGGCCUUCUAAGUCGAACGUGAAAUCCCCGGGCUCAACCCGGGAACUGCGUCCGAUACUGGAAGGCUUGAAUCCGGGAGAGGGAUGCGGAAUUCCAGGUGUAGCGGUGAAAUGCGUAGAUAUCUGGAGGAACACCGGUGGCGAAGGCGGCAUCCUGGACCGGUAUUGACACUGAGGCGCGAAAGCCAGGGGAGCAAACGGG